RNAcentral lists this long non-coding RNA (3566 nucleotides) under Sus scrofa (pig). RNAcentral's name for it is "lncRNA (ENSSSCG00000060353.1)". The record is from RNAcentral. Lineage: Eukaryota; Metazoa; Chordata; Mammalia; Artiodactyla; Suidae.
AUCUCAGGGCUAGAAAAAUUCUACCACUUCCCUCACCUCUAAGCAGAGAGAUGGCCAGGAGCCCCUGGGCAGCUGAGGGCAGGAGGAAGGGAAGAAGGCGGUGUGGCCGACUAGAAAGAACCCUUAACCAAACCAGGCUUCGAGACCACGGUUUCGGGCCCAGCUCUGCCCCUGACGAGUGGUGGAACCUUGGGCAAAUUACUCAACCUUCCUGCCGCUCGGUUUCUACUUCCUCUAUAAAACGGGGAUCUUACUAACUGCUCUGCUCGCAUCCUUGGUUGGUUGUGAGACAGACCUGGCCUAAGGCAUAAAGAUGAAGGUUCUCUGGACACUCCAAGGUGUCACACCAGUGCAGGCGGCUACCAGCGACAAGACAGAAGUCUUUACAAAGCUUUCUCGAGCUCUGAUCCCUGGUUCCUCUGGCUUGUCCCCUCACACUGACGUUUCCACCUUGAGUACUUCCCUAACUCAAUCUCUGAGCCUUGGGUAGUAUCCUGCCCCCAGCUCUGCAGAAUUGGUGUAGAACAUCCUAGAGCAUCUGGUCAGAGGCGUCGAAGAAAGACCAAAUAAAUAGACGUGGGGAGAAAUAAACAAAACAAUUUGACCCUGGGCUGCCUGCUCCACAUCCUCUACGAUGCAUCCAAAGACAAAGACUUCGCCCUCAAUGGCUCAUUUGCCUGCUUGGAGGGUCAGAGUGGCCCUCCCUGGGUUAGGAGUCAUAUUUUCCAUUUAUUAAAAUGAACAUCUGGCUGCUGUCUAAUACAGUGGGUGUACAGUCUUUGAACUCACGAUCACCUGUCAGGUAAUUCUGAUGGUAAAGCCACGCAGAAAAAGGGUCCCGGGCUCAUCCAUGCCACUGUGCCUGUGUGAAAGCAGGGGUCUGGCUCAGGGAAACUCAGCUGUCCUGGCUUCUGUGCACAUUCUAAUGGAGCAGGUCCACCGUCAUAAAGAAGAACUGUGAAUUAAUUUAAUCCAAGAAUCAGGGCGGGGGGGGGGGUCCUCAAGUUAUCUUGGGCCCCCGGAACAGGAAAGCCUGAGCUCCAGCUCACUCUCCAUACCCCCCCGCCCCUCUGUGUGACCUUGAGCAGGCCACUCAACCUUCUAAAACUUUGGCUUCCUCAUCUGUGAAGCAGGGAUAAUAACAAGACAUGCCCUGCCCAGCUCCCAAGGUUAUUGUGACAACCAAGUGAGAAAACAGAUGUGAAAGUGCUUUGCAAACCACAAAACAUCAUCCAAGUGCCAGGUAUCAGCUAGCAAAAGUGUCUUGAGAAUAACCCUCAACUCUGGAAGUUCUGAUUUAAUCCAUUAAUGGACACAUCCUACCUUGAUUUAAAAAGGAUUUAAGGUUUUUGGGUUUUUUUUUUUUUUUUUUUUUAAAUAGUGAAGCGAGGUCUUACUUUUCUUUGUUCCUCUGAUUUCUGCUUCAGAGCCUCAAAAAGGACGAACAGAAGCGUAUUGUGUUGCCUUUUAGGCAGAACCACGCAGCUCAGCCGCCUCACACUCACCCCACUUUCCUUCCUAUUCCCACUUCUUCUCGCAGCACCCGGAGCUGCAACAAGUUCGCCAAACCUGCAAAGCCUCCCCUCCUGGCCCCCAGUGGGUUGGAAGCCUAGGGCUCUUUGAAACUAGGUUUUCCUAAGAUCUCCAGGCCAAAGGCAUCCCCAUCACCCUGCCAGGAGGGUGCUGCCCUCGGGCAGGGGCGGGGGGACAGCAGGAGUUUCCAGGACACACAAGGGAUUAUUCUGCUCACAAAGGCUAUUUACCAAGUCAGCCCCACACAUCUACCAGGAUCCCGGUCAAAGAGCAGAGCGGAGCUGGGACAGCCUCCUGAAAGCGCUGCCUGGCAGACUUAGUCUUCUCUCUUAUUAGUCCCCAGGCAAGUUGCCACCGGGCUGUGGGGAGAGGCCUGUGCCUCAGGAAGAGGUGUGUGUGCGGGAGAGAAGCUGGAGGGGCUGGGCGAGGUUUGAGGCCGGCCAGGUCAAGUGGUCUCUCCCUCCUCCUCAGUUCUCCAACCUUCUUGGAUCUCAGACAAGCUCAGACCCAGGAUCAGCGGGCCUGGAACUCAGACCCAGACCCACCCGGGCUCGGCUCGAGGUGGGGGAGGUGAGCUCCCAUCCGGGCUUCUGGGGCUGGGCCUGGCUGGGAGUCACCAGCAGGAGCUGCCAGCUCCACUCAGCUCUGGGCUGUGCCAGGGGCUGCAAGAAGGAGGAGAAACCAAAUGAGGGGGAAAGCUGGUGAACCCCUCUUUCCAAGGCAAAAAUGCAAUGCACUCAGCCCUCAUGUACCUACCUUCCCACCGUGCAACCGUUUAAAUUUUUUUAAAAUCGAAGUGUGGUUGAUUUGCGAUGUUUCAGGUACACAGCAAAGUGAUUCAGUUCCAUAUACAUAUACUUUUCAGAGUCUUUUCCGUUAUAGGUUAUUACAAGAUACUGAAUACAGUUCCCGGUGCUACCCAGCAGAACUUUGUUGUUUACUAUACAUCUGUUAAUUCCAAACUCCUAAUUUUUCUCUCCUCCCCUUCCCCUGGGGGAACUGUAAGUUUGUUUUCUAUAUCUGUGAACCUAUUUUUGUUUUGUAAAUAAGUUCCUCUAUAUAAUUUUUUUUUCUUUUUAGGGUCGCACCUGCAGCAUAUGGAAGUUCCCAGGCUAGGGGUCCAAUCAGAGCUGCAGCUGCCAGCCUACGCCACAGCCACAGCCACAUGGGAUCCAUGCCUCAUCUGCGACCAACACCGCACCUCGCAGCAUCCUUUAACCCACUGAGUGAGGCCAGGGAGCGAACCUUUGUCCUCAUGGAUCUUAGUCGGGUUCAUUACCAGUGAGCCACCAGGGGAACUCCUGUAUGAUUUUUUUUAGAUUCCACAUAUAAACAACUACCAUUUAGAGAGAACAUCUAUGUACAGGACGCUCCAUCUUUCACAAAGCGGGGCAUCAGGCUCACAUUACAGACAAGAAAACAGCUUGGGAGAGGAGUAAACUGCCCAAGAGAAGAAAGUGACGAACGCUGAUGAAGAGGGACGGUGCUCAGCAUUACAAACACCUGCACAGGUAUUUCACUUGUAUUAGUUCAUGUGCUGUAUCGAGCUUGUUCAGGCAUUACUGGAAUAGUUUGAAGAAUUUUUUUUUUCUUUUUAGGGUUGCACCCGUGGCACAGGGACGUUCUCAAGGCUAGGGGUCAAAUUGGAGCUGUAGCUGCCGGCCUACACUACAGCCACAGCAACGCCAGAUCCAAGCCACACCUGCUACCUACAGUGAACGCUGGAUCAACGCUGGAUCAACCCACGGAGCAGCCGGGCCUUACUAUCCAUAAGGAUGCGGGCCCACACACAUCCUUAUGGAUACUAGUUUGAUACUGCUAAGCCACAACUGAAAUGCCUGAAGGAGUUUUUUUUUUUUUUUUUUUUAAAGAUACGUUGCCAGUCCGUGGUGGGGUCUAUAUUUAAACAGACAGGUCCAAUUCCAGAAUAUGCUCUCUGGCCACACAUCACUUGUCCAAACCCAAACCAGGAUAUGGAUGCUGACAAAGACUAUUUUUCUAACAUUAUUGAUGUGAAAAGUUUUAUGAAAGAA